UGAGAUACGGCCCAGACUCCUACGGGAGGCAGCAGUGGGGAAUAUUGCACAAUGGGCGGAAGCCUGAUGCAGCAACGCCGCGUGCGGGAUGACGGCCUUCGGGUUGUAAACCGCUUUCGCCUGUGACGAAGCGUGAGUGACGGUAAUGGGUAAAGAAGCACCGGCUAACUACGUGCCAGCAGCCGCGGUGAUACGUAGGGUGCGAGCGUUGUCCGGAUUUAUUGGGCGUAAAGGGCUCGUAGGUGGUUGAUCGCGUCGGAAGUGUAAUCUUGGGGCUUAACCCUGAGCGUGCUUUCGAUACGGGUUGACUUGAGGAAGGUAGGGGAGAAUGGAAUUCCUGGUGGAGCGGUGGAAUGCGCAGAUAUCAGGAGGAACACCAGUGGCGAAGGCGGUUCUCUGGGCCUUUCCUGACGCUGAGGAGCGAAAGCGUGGGGAGCGAACAGGCUUAGAUACCCUGGUAGUCCACGCUGUAAACGGUGGGUACUAGGUGUGGGGUCCAUUCCACGGGUUCCGUGCCGUAGCUAACGCUUUAAGUACCCCGCCUGGGGAGU
Molecule: ribosomal RNA, 551 nt
Filed under: uncultured Propionibacterium sp.
Lineage: Bacteria; Bacillati; Actinomycetota; Actinomycetes; Propionibacteriales; Propionibacteriaceae
Description: bacterial SSU rRNA
Rfam family: Bacterial small subunit ribosomal RNA
Source: RNAcentral